CUAUGGAGUUGUUGCGGCCUCUAGGGGCAUGUGCACGCUUCACUAGUCUUUCAACCACCUGUGAACUUUUGAUAGAUCUGCGAAGUCGUCCUUCAAGUCGUCAGACUUGGUUUGCUGGGAUUUAAACGUCUCGGUGUGACAACGCAGUCUAUUUACUUAACACACCCCAAAUGUAUGUCUACGAAUGUCAUUUAAUGGGCCUUGUGCCUAUAAACCAUAAUACAACUUUCAACAACGGAUCUCUUGGCUCUCGCAUCGAUGAAGAACGCAGCGAAAUGCGAUAAGUAAUGUGAAUUGCAGAAUUCAGUGAAUCAUCGAAUCUUUGAACGCACCUUGCGCCCCUUGGUAUUCCGAGGGGCAUGCCUGUUUGAGUGUCAUUAAAUUCUCAAACUCACAUUUAUUUGUGAUGUUUGGAUUGUUGGGGGUUGCUGGCUGUAACAAGUCGGCUCCUCUUAAAUGCAUUAGCAGGACUUCUCAUUGCCUCUGCGCAUGAUGUGAUAAUUAUCACUCAUCAAUAGCACGCAUGAAUAGAGUCCAGCUCUCUAAUCGUCCGCAAGGACAAUUUGACAAUUUGACCUCAAAUCAGGUAGGACUACCCGCUGAACUUAAGCAUAUCAAU
Molecule: ribosomal RNA, 619 nt
Filed under: Pleurotus pulmonarius
Lineage: Eukaryota; Fungi; Basidiomycota; Agaricomycetes; Agaricales; Pleurotaceae
Description: eukaryotic LSU rRNA
Rfam family: 5.8S ribosomal RNA (bases 224-377)
Source: RNAcentral